Molecule: ribosomal RNA, 497 nt
Filed under: uncultured bacterium
Lineage: Bacteria
Description: partial 16S ribosomal RNA
Rfam family: Bacterial small subunit ribosomal RNA
Source: RNAcentral
GAUGAACGCUGGCGGCGUGCCUAAUACAUGCAAGUCGAGCGAACAGAUGAGGAGCUUGCUCCUCUGACGUUAGCGGCGGACGGGUGAGUAACACGUGGAUAACCUACCUAUAAGACUGGGAUAACUUCGGGAAACCGGAGCUAAUACCGGAUAAUAUAUUGAACCGCAUGGUUCAAUAGUGAAAGACGGUUUUGCUGUCACUUAUAGAUGGAUCCGCGCCGCAUUAGCUAGUUGGUAAGGUAACGGCUUACCAAGGCGACGAUGCGUAGCCGACCUGAGAGGGUGAUCGGCCACACUGGAACUGAGACACGGUCCAGACUCCUACGGGAGGCAGCAGUAGGGAAUCUUCCGCAAUGGGCGAAAGCCUGACGGAGCAACGCCGCGUGAGUGAUGAAGGUCUUCGGAUCGUAAAACUCUGUUAUUAGGGAAGAACAAAUGUGUAAGUAACUAUGCACGUCUUGACAGUACCUAAUCAGAAAGCCACGGCUAACUACGUG